This is a long non-coding RNA of Microplitis mediator, 574 nucleotides long. RefSeq lists it as uncharacterized. The record is from RefSeq and is a predicted model, not a curated record. The transcript has 3 exons. NCBI's taxonomy places the organism in Eukaryota, Metazoa, Arthropoda, Insecta, Hymenoptera, Braconidae.
GAUAAAUACGUAGCCUAUAGAUAGGAAAGACAGCAAUUAUUAGUCGAGUUUAAAAACGGGCCAUUAUUUACUGGCUAUUAUAACUUUUGCGUCGACCGACUUGCGAGCUCCGUACGUAAAAACACAAAUAAUAUAACUGCUCUAAGUAAAUCAAAAUUCACUAACAAAAUGUCCAAGUUCAUUUUCAUUUUUAUAUGUAUAGCUGCGAUGUUUGCUAUUGGUCAUAGUGAACCUAACCUCAAAGGUUGCAAACGCUGUGGAAAUCUCGGAGAGAGUUGUAUAAUAGCUGAAUGCUGUAGCGGUUUGGAAUGCAAGUCCAAUGAAAAGUCCCAAAAAAGAUGUGAUGAUCCAGAAAUAAUAUGGAGUUUCCAAAGGGGACCCAAACCAGGUGAAAUGAAUAACAGGGGUUACAGGCGAUUUUAACAUUUCCCUUUUCAUAAAUAAAAAUUAUAAAGUAAAUGACCCAGUACUUGCAAUAACGAGACCCAAUACUGGAACGAUUUGAUAAUAAUUAUUUAAUAUUUAAUCUUGUAUCCGAUUAAAGUUAAUAAAAUUUUCUUUAUUUGCGCGUUAA